CUAAAAAUCAAUUAGCAAAACUAAGGAUACACUUGACAUGGGUCUAUACCAGUUUGCUAACUUGACAUGACAUAAAUCUUGAACAUCAUUAUCUAAUACAAAUGCAAUAUAGAUUAACAUUUGGAACCCCUUUUUGGGAAACUUGGAACAAGUAAUCCCAAUGAAAAUGAUAUAUUACAAUGCAAAUUAAUAAACAUUAUACGCUCAUUUUAGAGCUUAACUGAAGUUUGCUCUAAAUCAAGAAUCGACGGCCCAUUGCCUCAGUUUAAUACACAAACUCGAACUGAACUUGCUUGCUCUUAAUGAAUGGUGAGCUGGGUAAAUGUAUACCUGCAAAAACAUAAUGACAUGGCCAGUAAGAGUGGUAAAUUGGAAAACUAAAGAAGACUUUUUUCUUUUCAUGGAUUAGCAAUCAAUUUGCACGUACGUAAGAAAAACAAUGACCAAAAGAAUUAAUAAUAGCUUACCAUAAUGAAAUGACCACAAACUGGAAAACAUGGAGACUUCAUCUCCUCCUCUUCUUGCUUCUUCCCAAUUGUCCCCAUUUAAAUACAUGCUCUAGUUCUUGGAGAAAAGCUUUAGCUUGUCCAUAUUUUUAAGCUCUUUCUUCUACCAGUCGUGCCUUGUCCUUUUCUUUAACCUCCAACAAGAAGUAAUGAUCUUUCCACAAUCCACGGGCAGCACCUUUAGCUUCCUAUCUUGAAAGCUUGUUCAAUUUUUU
Molecule: long non-coding RNA, 721 nt
Filed under: Olea europaea subsp. europaea
Lineage: Eukaryota; Viridiplantae; Streptophyta; Magnoliopsida; Lamiales; Oleaceae
Source: RNAcentral